Molecule: ribosomal RNA, 468 nt
Filed under: uncultured bacterium
Lineage: Bacteria
Description: partial 16S ribosomal RNA
Rfam family: Bacterial small subunit ribosomal RNA
Source: RNAcentral
GACGAACGCUGGCGGCGUGCUUAACACAUGCAAGUCGAACGGAAAGGCCCUGCUUUUGUGGGGUGCUCGAGUGGCGAACGGGUGAGUAACACGUGAGUAACCUGCCCUUGACUUUGGGAUAACUUCAGGAAACUGGGGCUAAUACCGUAUAGGAGCUCCUGCUGCAUGGUGGGGGUUGGAAAGUUUCGGCGGUUGGGGAUGGACUCGCGGCUUAUCAGCUUGUUGGUGGGGUAGUGGCUUACCAAGGCUUUGACGGGUAGCCGGCCUGAGAGGGUGACCGGCCACAUUGGGACUGAGAUACGGCCCAGACUCCUACGGGAGGCAGCAGUGGGGAAUAUUGCACAAUGGGCGGAAGCCUGAUGCAGCAACGCCGCGUGCGGGAUGACGGCCUUCGGGUUGUAAACCGCUGUCGCCUGUGACGAAGCGUGAGUGACGGUAAUGGGUAAAGAAGCACCGGCUAACUACGUG